Molecule: ribosomal RNA, 423 nt
Filed under: Myersiohyla sp. ABGD cluster 3
Lineage: Eukaryota; Metazoa; Chordata; Amphibia; Anura; Hylidae
Description: partial large subunit ribosomal RNA
Rfam family: Bacterial large subunit ribosomal RNA
Source: RNAcentral
CUUGCAUCUCAUAAGAGGUCCAGCCUGCCCAGUGACCAUGUUCAACGGCCGCGGUAUUCUGACCGCGUGAAGGUAGCGUAAUCACUUGUUCUUUAAAUAAGGACUAGUAUGAAUGGCAUCACGAAGGCUACACUGUCUCCUUUUUUCAAUCAGUGAAACUAAUCUCCCCGUGAAGAAGCGGGCAUGAAAAUAUAAGACGAGAAGACCCUAUGGAGCUUAAAACCACUUACAAUUGCUUUACACCUCUCACUAUCUCAGCAUAAUAACCUUUAACCUAGCGAUAUGAUUACGCGUUUUCGGUUGGGGCGACCGCGGGGGAAAAAACAACCCCCACAUUGAACGGAACUAAACCCUGAACAAAAAGCAACAACUUUAUGCACCAAUAUAUUGACACCCCUUGACCCAAUACUUUGAUCAAUGAAC